Marmota marmota marmota (Alpine marmot) is the source of this 45-nucleotide non-coding RNA. The record is from Ensembl. NCBI's taxonomy places the organism in Eukaryota, Metazoa, Chordata, Mammalia, Rodentia, Sciuridae.
ACUGUACUGAUGAGUCCCAAAAAGGACGAAAUAACAAGUUACAAU